Molecule: long non-coding RNA, 572 nt
Filed under: Elaeis guineensis (African oil palm)
Lineage: Eukaryota; Viridiplantae; Streptophyta; Magnoliopsida; Arecales; Arecaceae
Description: long non-coding RNA (EGUI_LNC076831)
Source: RNAcentral
AUCUUCAGGAAAGACAUUAUGAAACUCACUAAGAAGGCUAGCUACUUCUUUAGGAUAAUCCAUCUUAGAAUCCUCACGAACUUCUCUAGCAGCAAGCAUCUAAACUGGUGAUCCUUCACUUAUGGUCGUCUCUAAUUCUUUAGCACCUAUCAGAUGGAGGCUUUUCUUCUUGAGGUUUUCUUUUGGUCCAUUGCCUAUCUUUCUAUUAGUAGCCUUAGGUGAGGAAUGAUUAAUCGUGAUCUUACGGGAGUUGGUUCGGCCAUAAAUCAUAACAUCAUUAUCGAAUAGCCAAGAUCGACCUAAUAUGAUACUUCCGACUUCCAUGGGUAAGACAUCGCACCACACAUGAUUCUGGUAGGAAUGAAGCUGGAUGGGCACACGGUAUCUAAAUUUGAUGAGAAUAGAGGAGGAAUCAAUCCAAGACACACGGUAUGGACUGGGAUGAUCCACAGGAGUUAAUCCUAAUCGCUUAACCGUGUCGGUGGAGAUGGCGUUGAUACAGCUACCGCUAUCAAUGAUCACCUUACAAAUUUUAUCGCCAAAUUUUAUGAAAGUAUGGAAAAUAGAGGUCC